CAAUAGCGUAUAUUUAAGUUGUUGCAGUUAAAAAGCUCGUAGUUGGAUUUCGGAUGGGAUUUGCCGGUCCGUCGUUACGAUGUGCACUGGCCAGUCCUAUCUUGUUGUCGGGGACUAGCUCCUUGGAUUCACUUCCUGGGACUAGGAGCUGACGAGGUUACUUUGAGUAAAUUAGAGUGUUCAAAGCAAGCCUACGCUCUGAAUACAUUAGCAUGGAAUAACACGAUAGGACUCUGGCUUAUCUUGUUGGUCUGUGAGACCAGAGUAAUGAUUAAGAGGGACAGUCGGGGACAUUCGUAUUUCAUUGUCAGAGGUGAAAUUCUUGGAUUUAUGAAAGACGAACAUCUGCGAAAGCAUUUGCCAAGGAUGUUUUCAUUGA
Molecule: ribosomal RNA, 379 nt
Filed under: uncultured eukaryote
Lineage: Eukaryota
Description: partial 18S ribosomal RNA
Rfam family: Eukaryotic small subunit ribosomal RNA
Source: RNAcentral